ACGGUCUUCGGAUUGUAAACUUCUGUUAAGUGGGAAGAAAAAUCCGUUUCUAAUACAGACGGUAAUGACGGUACCAUUAGAGAAAGCACCGGCUAACUUCGUGC
This 104-nucleotide ribosomal RNA is filed under the name uncultured bacterium. RNAcentral's name for it is "partial 16S ribosomal RNA". The record is from RNAcentral.